UACAGUCAAAUCAUCCUGACCGCACCAAUUCCCGUUCGGUCAUCGAAGUUAAUUAGCGUCGUGUCUUGUCAGUACUUAGAUGGGUGACCACUUGGGAACACCCGGUACU
Non-coding RNA from Acanthosepion pharaonis, 109 nucleotides. The record is from the annotation of a GenBank genome assembly. Lineage: Eukaryota; Metazoa; Mollusca; Cephalopoda; Sepiida; Sepiidae.